CUGAGAGGAGGCUUCUCCAACACAAAAGGAGGAAUUAGGGGCACAAAGCAAUAAUAUAUAGGGCUAGAAUUAGAAACCAAUAAAGACUUGAACAAUUCUGAUGUCUACAGUUUGCCUGGUGCAGUACAUUCUAGAUCUCAUUUAUCUAAUCAGGAUUUCUCAGCCUCAGUACUAUUGACAUUUUGGGCCAGAUCUUUGUUAUACGGGGAUGCCUACAUUAUAAGAUGGUUAACAGCAUCCCUGCCCCCUACCCAGUGAAUACCAGGAGCCUCCUCCUGUUGUGACAAGUAUUUAUGUCUCUGGGUGUGGGCGAAUGUCCCCUAUAUAGGGUAGAAUUAGAAAUCAAUAAAGACCUUGGUCUUUAUUGUGAACUAUUAAUCUAAAUGGAUUCAAAUCUACUAGGCAUCCUGAUGAAGUGGAGAGAUAAAUGUUCUUCCUUCAGGGAGCUUGAAAUCUUUAUUGGUAAGAUUAAGUGUAUGACUUGAUGGGAUGAGCACUGGGUAUUAUUAUGCUAUAUGUUGGCAAAUUGAACUCCAAUAAAAAAAGUUUUUUAAAAAUUAAGUGCAUGAAUCUCAACAUUAAAUGAAUGAAAGAAAGAAAGAAGAGCAAGAAAGAAAGAGUUGCACUUUCCAGUCAUCUGGCUCCUUGGAGUGGCAUGCCAUCUCCUGCUCCCUUCUGUUACUUUUAUUAACUAAAGAAAAAAAAAAAGAAAAGAAAAGAAAAGAAAGAAACAGAAACAAAAUUCCAUAAUCAAGGAAAGGUGAGUAAAAAAAGAUAAAUAAAUAAUAAGUGAUAAGUGCUAACUGGAAGAGUUUCUUUUUUUUUCUUUUUCUUCUUUUUUUUUUUUUUUAAACUUACUCGGAAGAAUGCAUUAUCUGUUAGUAAGUAGUGUAAGCAAUUAUCUUUAGCGUGGAACUGGUAUAUUUUAGGCAAUCCUACUGAAAUGGUGUAAACAACAUUUCCUGUGUCAAAAGCAGAGAUCCAAGUCUGUUUUAGAAUGGUCCUAAUCUCCAUCUAUUAUAAUUUCCACCAAUAACUUGUCUUUUUAUAUAUGCUGGCAUCUGUGUGAAAGACAGCAUCCCACAUUGACCAAGUCUCCAUCUGGUGAGAGGCGGGAGAACAGGAACAUAGGCUGUCACUUUAUGCAGAUGGAUUUCUAUUAAUACAAACAAGUGACCCUAAAAGAGAAAUUGGCUAGCUCCAGCAUAACUUUAAGAAGAUUGUUCUGAAUUUCCUGAAAGCAGGUUAUUUCUAAAUACAUGGUGUUGCCUUUUAAACACAGAUCAGGCAUUUUGUCCUUCUAAGAGCUGGUUUUACAAAGUGGGCUUGCCAUUCUGAGCCCAUUUGCUCGGGGAGGGAGAGGCAGGAAAAGAUUGCAGUGAGACAGACAGACAGGGUCUCUUGUGGGAACAGCCCCAGGUUUUCCUGAUGAGUGUUCGAGACCCAUCAGGCUAUGAAUCCUGGAGAGAGGGCAGGGGAAGGGAGUAGUUUAACCCAUCAUGGCUCUCUGCCACCUGUCUUUUCUCCUUCCUUACCAUGAGAAUACGUGGCUUGCAAAUAUCCUCAGUGCAUCCAUUGGGUAAAUUUAUAUUCUGAAUCUACACAUACAAACCUUUACCAAGGGAGUCUGCUUUUAGGGUCACUAGGAAGGCUUUCACUGACUUCUUCUUCUUCAUUGACCCACCCCUGGCCAGCUGUGACAAACAGCAUAGCAACUGGGCCAUGGAGAGACUCUCGAGAGUAAUAACUCCUAGUUGUAAACAACCCAGUGGCCUAUCAAUAGAGAUGAGUGAUGUUAUAUCCAUGUGGCACAAUACUAUGAUAUAGUUAAAAAUCAUAUUUUGGAAUAGUUUUUUUUUCAAACUGGUUAUUUCAGUACUCCUUCAGGGCUUCUGCCCUAUGUUUGGCUCUCCUAUUUUAUACUUAAUACAUUUCUUUAAAUGGACUUAGUUUUUAAAACAUAUGUAUUCCCACCCAUCCUCAUCCUGAGUGAUGAUAUCUACGACAUGAGUUUGAGGUGCUAGUUGUAUUUUUCAGUACACACUAACCUAAACAGGUAAGUUUAAAUACUUACCUGUUCAUACUUAACAGGUAAGUAUUAAAAUUUAAAAUGUUCAAUUAAGUUUGGCUAAAAUCAGCUUAAAAUCAGUAUCCCCAGUGGUACUCUUCCCACUGUUAGGAGAAACCUUGCUUUAGAAGACUACCUGGUGUCCCUGGAGCAAAGACUACGCUAUUACUUGAAAACAAGCAAACUGAUCAAAAUUUUGUGGAAAUAAUGUCUGUUCAUGUGUGUGUGCAUAUGUGUAUGAAAAAGAUGCAUAUGAACCCCAUAUGUUAAUAGUGGUUAGCUCUAUUAGUAUGUAAUCUGGUCUCAGAUUGACUUAUGGGAUUUUUUUCCACAGGUGUCUCCUUUAUUUAAAAGUGAUGAUUAACUCAUUUUUUAAAAAUAGUUUUAUUGAGAUAUAAUUUGAAUACUAGAAAAUUCAUCCUUUUGAGGUAUAAAAUUUGGCGUUUUUCAGUAUAUUCACAAAGAUGUAUACCAUAGACUAUACCUAAAUCUAGGACAUUUCAUCACCCCCAAAAGAAACUCUGUACACAUUACUGUCACUCUCCCAUUGUCCCCUGAAUCUAGUCCCUGGCAAUCACUAAUCUACUUUCCAUCUCUACGGACUUGCCUUUUCUGGAAAUGGCAUAGAAAUAGAAUCACACAAUAAUAUGGAUUUUUGUGACUAGCUUCUUUCAUUUCAAGUUUCCUCCAUGUUGUAGCAUUAGUAGUACUUCUAUUCUUCUUAUUAUAGAAGUGGCUUUCUGCCACUUGAAUAUACCACAUUGUUAUUUAUCCAUUCAUUAGUUGAUAGACAUUUUUUGCUACUUCUACUUUUUGGCUAUUAUAAAUAAUUCUUCUGUGAACAUUUGUGUACAAGUUACACAGGGACAUAUAUUUUCAAUUUUCUUGAGUCUAUACCCAGGAGUAGAAUUGCUGAAUUACAUAAUAACUCUAGGUUUAACAGUUUAAAGAACUACCAAACAGUUUUCCAAAAUGGCUACACCAUAUAAAAAUCCCACCAGCAGUGUACGAGGGUUCCAAUAUCUCCACAACCUCACCAACAUCUGUACUUGUCUGUCAUUUUUAUAUCCGCCAUCCUAGGAGAUGUGAAAUGGUACCUCAUUGUGGUUUUGAUUUACAUUUCCCAGAUGACUAAGGAUGUUGAGUAUCCUUUCAUGUGUUUAUUAGCCAUUUGUACAGGCUUUGCUUUAUUGCACUUCACAGAGACUGUAUUUUUUAUAAGUUGAAGAUUUGUGGAAACCCUGCAGCAAGCAAAUCUAUCAGUGCCUUUUUUUCCUAUAGCAUUGGCUUGCUUCAUGUCUUUGUGUCACAUUUUGGUAAUUGUUGCUUUAUUGAAGUGGUCUGGAACUGAACCCGCCAUGUAUCCUAUGUAUGCCUAAAUAUCUAUUCAGAUCUUUUGCCUAUUUUUCAGUUAGGUUGUCUUUUUAUUAUUGAGUUAUAGGUGUUCUUUAUAUAUUCUAUAUACAAGUUCCUUAUCAUAUAUAUGAUUUCAAAUAUUUCCCCCAUUUCAUUCUCUUGAUAGUGUCCUUUGAAGCACAAAAGUUUUAGAUUUUGAUUAAGUUCCAUUAUGUUUUAUUUUGUUGCCUGUGGUUUAGGUGUGAUAUCUAGAGUUCAUUCCCUAAUCUAAGGUCACAAAAUUUAUGCCCAUGUUUUCUUCAAGGAGUUUUACCAUUUAGCUCCUAUAUAUGGUCUAUAAUCCAUUUUGAGUUGAGAUUUGUAUUUUGUUUGGGGAAGGAGUCACAUUUCAUCCUUUUUCAUGGGUAUCCAGUUGUCCAGGCAUCAUUUGUUGAAAAGAAUGCUUUUCCCCCAUUGAAAGGUCCUUGGCACCCUUGUCAAAAAUCAGUUGAUCACUAAUUCAUGAAUGUAAGGGUUUAAUUCUGAACUCUCAAUGCUAUUCCAUUGAUCUGUAUGUCUAGACUUACACCAGUACCUCACCAUCUGGGUUACUAUAGCUUUGUACUAAAUUUUGAAAUUGGGAAGUAUGAGUCCUUUAACCUUGUUUUUCUUUCUCAAGGCUGUUUUGGCUAUUUUGGGUUUCUUAAAUUUCUAUCUGAAUUCUAGAUUCAGUUUAUCUCUUUCUACCCAGCAAAAGGCAGCUGGGAUUCUGAUACAGAUUACAUUGAAUCUGUGGUUAAUACUUAAUACAUAAUAAUACUAAGGUCUGAUCCAUGACCAGAGGAUGUUUUUUCAUUAAGUUAGAUUUCCUUUAAUUUCUUUUAACAAUACUUUUUAGUCUUCAGUACAUAAGUCUCACACUUAUUUUAUUGAAUUUACUCCUAGGUAUUUAUUCUUUUUGAUGCUAUUAUUGUAAAUGGAUUCAAAUUGUGUUUAAAACCUCCUUCUUUAUAGUUCCCUAAAUUUUAAAAUUACUUAUAAUGAUGACCUAAUACUCUUAUAAUGAGAAAGAAUAUGAAAAAAGUUUCAGCCUCAUGAAGAUUUGAGAAUCCUAGAUAUGGAUUCUUCUGUGGAUUUUUUUUUUUGAUGUCUGAAUUU
Molecule: long non-coding RNA, 4561 nt
Filed under: Canis lupus familiaris (dog)
Lineage: Eukaryota; Metazoa; Chordata; Mammalia; Carnivora; Canidae
Description: lncRNA (ENSCAFG00030009673.1)
Source: RNAcentral